RNAcentral lists this ribosomal RNA (425 nucleotides) under uncultured bacterium. RNAcentral describes it as "partial 16S ribosomal RNA". It matches the Rfam family "Bacterial small subunit ribosomal RNA", at positions 354 to 796 of the family's 1533-position model. The record is from RNAcentral.
GUGGGGAAUAUUGGACAAUGGGCGAAAGCCUGAUCCAGCAAUGCCGCGUGAGUGAUGAAGGCCUUAGGGUUGUAAAGCUCUUUUACCCGGGAAGAUAAUGACUGUACCGGGAGAAUAAGCCCCGGCUAACUCCGUGCCAGCAGCCGCGGUAAUACGGAGGGGGCUAGCGUUGUUCGGAAUUACUGGGCGUAAAGCGCACGUAGGCGGUUUUGUAAGUUAGAGGUGAAAGCCUGGGGCUCAACCCCAGAAUUGCCUUUAAGACUGCAUCACUUGAACGUCGGAGAGGUGAGUGGAAUUCCGAGUGUAGAGGUGAAAUUCGUAGAUAUUCGGAAGAACACCAGUGGCGAAGGCGGCUCACUGGACGACUGUUGACGCUGAGGUGCGAAAGCGUGGGGAGCAAACAGGAUUAGAUACCCCGGUAGUCC